Molecule: unclassified non-coding RNA, 18 nt
Filed under: Mus musculus (house mouse)
Lineage: Eukaryota; Metazoa; Chordata; Mammalia; Rodentia; Muridae
Description: oocyte_clustered_small_RNA2097
Source: RNAcentral
AACGCCAUUAAGACAGCA